Long non-coding RNA from Podarcis raffonei (Aeolian wall lizard), 435 nucleotides. RefSeq lists it as uncharacterized. Lineage: Eukaryota; Metazoa; Chordata; Lepidosauria; Squamata; Lacertidae. The transcript has 2 exons. The record is from RefSeq and is a predicted model, not a curated record.
AGCAAGCAGCAGGCAGUAGAGAAAGACUACAACUUGGCCCUGUACUUCAACAAGGGAAGCUGAAAACUUUCAAUAGAUAGUCUAAAACAAGUACACAAAGAGCUCUUUCCACAAAGGACUCUUUCCACACAACCAUUUAGACAUCUAGUCAAGUCUGUCAGUUGAUCUCACCUCCUUGAAGAAAAAGAUGGAGAAUGAAGAACAAGUUAGAUGUAACCAGCAGGUAUUCCUCAGGGAAGUGGAAGGACAAAAGAAAAACCUCUCAGACCAGGGUCUAGAAAACAUGGAACAAACAGGAGUGUGGAUGAGCCCUUAUUGAGCUACACAUCUCCCAACCCAAUCCUGAACAUACAUGAAUUGAAAAAAAUGUUGAAAUAUACAUUUAUUAAGAAACCAGAGGCCUUUCUUCUUGGAAUAACAGGUUUGGAAUUGCCC